CUUGAACAGCACCGGAUCCAGACGCACUCGAGAGGAAACCAGAGGCAUGUGGCCCAGCCCUGCUGCUAAACGGUUGAUGCAGUCCUGAUCCAGGGCCUGAGGCUCCGGCACGGGUCUUGGACCCUCAGAAGCCUAAGAGACACAACUGUGGGGUCAUGCCAUUCUCUCGGGACCCAAAAGUCAGAAAAAGCCAGACUCUUUUGGAAGUCGGCACCCCAGACUGCUUCUGCCAGUGAGCAUAUACUUGGAAUCCAUUGGCUACAGUGGUCCCCAGAGACAAAGGAAAGCUCAAGAUUGGUGAAAGACAUUUGCCCAAAAUCACGCUGUCACGACUGUUCCCUCACUGUUGCAUCCAGGGAGGAAGCAAGACGGGAGGAGGGAGACGGGAGACAUCUAGAAAGAUGGAGAGGAGGAGGGCUGAAGGGGAACCCGGGCCCCUGCAGGUGAACCCCCUUACCUCUAGGGUGGUAUGAACGACUUUUUCCACUGAGGAGAAGUAAGCGGUCCACAGAAACUGGGUCUGCUGGCGCAGGGCGAGAACCCGCGAAGGGAGCAUUUCACGGAGCGCAGCCAGAACCUGGAAGCACAGAGGGAGGGAGAAAGAGAGGAGGCCUGGGGUCCAGCCUCCUUACUGACCCCGCUUAGGAGAAGACUCCUCUUAGAGCUCGGGGAUCUGGACACUUCUAAUGAUGUGCACCCUGUGUUCAGGGUCGCACAGGUUUUAAGUGACACUGUGAGGUGGCACAUACCUGGAAAUCCUGGCACCCAGGUGACUGAGACAGGGGGAUCUUGAGUUCAAGACCACCUGGGCUACAUAGGGAAGAGACCUUGCUUUAAAAACAAACAAAAGAAAGGAAGGAGUGGCUGGGGAUGUGGCUCAGUAGAGAAAGAGCCAACACAGCAUAACAUGGACCAAGCCCUGGGCUUGCUCCCCAGCACCACAUAAACUGUCACCAUUGACACAAGCCUGCAAUCACAGCAUCCAGGAGCCAGAGACAGGAGGAUUAGAAGUUCAAGAUCCUCUAGGCUGUAAAGGGAGUUUGAGGUCAGCAUGGGCUACAUGAGACCCUAUCCAAAAUACCAAGGCGAAGAGGGGGCAACAGUAACUGAUACAAAGUCCCCAGCCCCAGUUUCCCCAUCUGUGGAAUGGGUGCAUUAAACCAUCUCCCUCCCUUGCAUGAGGUUGUAAAGACUCAACUAGAAAGUGUUCAUUUGGGGCUGGGGAUUUAGCUCAGUGGUAGAGCGCUUACCUAGGAAGCGCAAGGCCCUGGGUUCGGUCCCCAGCUCCAAAAAAAAGAACCAAAAAAAAAAGUGUUCAUUUAGUGCCCAGACCAUGUGGAGACUGUCUGAAUGACUGAAUGAUGGUAGCACUGUGUGUGGUGUGGUGUGGUGUGUGUGUGUGUGUGUGUGUGUGUGUGUGUGUGUGUGUGUGUGUGAGAGAGAGAGAGAGAGAGAGAGGGGGGGGGGGAUCCCAGGCUGGCCUCAAACUUGCUAUGUAGCUGAAAAUGACUUUGAAUUCCUGAUCUCCUGCCUCACGGACCCGUUUGUUGGGAUUGUAGGUGUGGGACCCCAGCUAACAGACGGCCAUUGCUCACCUGCCUGCCGGCCUCCACCCAGCUCCCCAGACUUCUCAUGGCAGCUCACACAGAUUCUUCAGGCCUGGGCAACUUUCCUUUCAUCAGCUGGAAGAGCCAUGGCUUCUUACCUAUUUAUUUCCUAUCAGCUGAGAUCUAACCUACCCCAUUGUACAGAUGGGGAAACUGAGGCAGAAAGCGGCUCACAACUGCUCUCAGCACAUCCACAGGCCCCCACCUUCAUCUACAUCUCUGAGAGCCCCAGAAGAGGGGGGGCAAUAGGUAUAGAUAUGACUGCUAGAAGGGGGCCGGGAUCCUGGGGUCCCUCCCCUGACAUGUCCCCCACCAUGAGCUACCUGCAGUGGGAGCCUCUCAUCCGCAACGAUGGCUGCUUUGGUCCAGUCGAUGACUUCAGAGAAAGGCAGCUCCCAGCGGGGGCUGAGGAGCACAGGGAUGCAGCCAGCCUGGGGGGGGGGGCAGGGCAGUCAUUGGGGAGCCUAGCCCACUACCCCAGGUCACCAGCAGCCCCGCCCCCGUGAGGGAAAGGACAAAGAGGAGAGUACUGGGGGGGGGGGGCAGGGACCCUCCUUCCUAUGUGCAGGUGCCCAGCAUUUCCUGUUAGCUCAAGGAGAGGCUGGGGAGUGCUCAGAUUGGGGUGUACCUGAAGGGCUUGGAGAAAGCAGGAGGUAGCAGAUCGGUGGCCAGGAAUGAGGCAGAAGGUGACAUUGGGAAGUAUCUCUCCUGGGUAGGUCCUGAGAAGGUACAGGAAGGUCUCUGGACACAGGAGCCUGAGACACCCACCCCUCACCCUGGCAGCUCCAGUGGCCCCUGGCACCUUACCAUGGCAUUCCCUCAGUCACAAGACGUUGACCCCACUGUGUCCUCAGACACACAGCCAUACACAGGAGAUAUAACUUGGUUAUAACAGACAUAACCAAGAGCAGCGACCUGGUCUCUCUGCUCCCUGCUCCAUGGGGAUUCAGAGACCCUGCCUGCUAGUUCUGUGUCUGCCCCUGGUGGCCUGAGGCAACUCUCUCUUCUUCCUUGUACCUCAGUUCUCUCGUCUGCAAAAUGGGGGUGCCUGGAUCUCCGGUCCUUCCUUUCACUUCUGCUCUGGCCUAGGCAUCCUCACCUGAGUAACCCCCACAUCCAGCCCUCUUCCUCCUCACCUGAGUGACCCCCACCCUCAGCUCUCCCCACAUUGGUAGCUCAGCCAUGAAAGGCUUCUCUGUACUGAGGUGGGCUGGGCCUCCAGCCUGGAACCGCACAGGAAGCUCUAAGACAGGCCUCCUCUGUUCCCCCACUCCUCCCCCAGCCCCAGGACCGUGAUCAGGUUGUGCCAGGGAUUCUGUGAGGGAGGUCCCAGAGCCACAGCCCCCUCAGAGCCACCUCUCUGGUACUGCCAGUCCAGGGAACCGAUGGCUAGCAUCCUGCUGGGGAGGGAAGGACCAGAGGGACCCAUGGGUGUGCACAAUCCUCAGUAAGGUGCAUGAAGAGGACCACUCAAGACCCUCCCCAGUGGCUCACUGCUCUGACCUCCAGCAGACAGAUCUGGGACUAUCCAGCAGUGCCUCUGGACAGUUGGGGAACCCGAGCCUCAAGGAGAGGGACCCCGACUGUGGUUAGAACUAAGUCGGCCAAUUCCAACCCCAGGUUUUUCAGCUAUCAUGAGGGAUAUGUCCAGGGGUGCACCAGGAACCUCUGGAAGGAACCACAAAGCAAACUUGACCCCCACCCUUAUCACAUCAAAAGCUACAGUACUGAUUAGGCAGCCCCAGCUCCCUCCAGUAAGCUAUAAGGAACUAAAAGGCCCUAGCUGAAGACUCCAGGGAGCCCACAGAGAGAAACAGACUCAUCAGACUGUACCCCUUGGCCUCCAGGUCCCCUUUAAUCUCUCCUUUGGAUGUCCUCUCCCCUCACUCUCUGCCUCAUCUACUUGGGGGAAUUCCUUUGGCUUUAUGUCACCUUCUCCAAGAAGCCCUCCUUGAUACCCGAGCCAACCACCACUCCUGGCACAGUUCUAAGUGCUUUGCUCGUAGGAAGGUCGUUCUCACAGCAGCCCCUGAGAUGGAAACCACUGCUGUAUCAUCCUAUCUGACAGUGAGGGAACAGAGGCCUGAAGUCAUGCUUAGCUUUGAAAUAGAUCAGACUCCAGGCUGGAGAGAUGGCUCAGUGGUUAAGAGCACUGACUGCUCUUCCAGAGGUCCUGAGUUCAAAUCCCAGCAACCACAUGGUGGCUCACAACCAUCUGUAAUGAGAUCUGAUGCCCUCUUCUGGUGUGUCUGAAAACAGCUACAGUGUAAUUAUAUAUAAUAAAUAAAUAAAAUCUUUUAAAAAAGAAAUAGAUCAGACUCUGAAGCCUCCCUCUGCCUACCAGUGUACCUGCUUCCCAACAGGACAGAGUUAACUGAGCCCAGGGGUGGAGGGACUGGGGGUUUAUGGGAGAUGGUAGGCAGAGGUUGAAUGAGUAGCUUUGUGGGGCUCAGGAGAGAGAGAGGGAACUUGUGCUUCUGUGAGCUGACCACCAAGAAGUCCAAAAAUGUUUUGCUGGGGUUUUUUGUUUGUUUGUUUUUUUCUUUUUCUUUUUCUUUUUUUUUGGAGCUGGGGACCGAACCCAGGGCCUUGUGCUUGCUAGGCAAGUGCUCUACCACUGAGCUAAAUCCCCAACCCCAGUGUUCUGCUGUUUAAGGUAUGCACCAUAGGCCUAGGGUUUCGAAGCCCAGGGUUAAAGUAAUGGCUUUGCCCACGGUCGUGGAGUUCACCAGGGCCUGACCUUGGCAGAGCCACACUGUGAUUUCCAUGGAUCCUGAGCACUUUAACUUUUGCUGUUACUCCUACCCUGGGAGAAAAGUUUAUAUUUAAAAAAUACAUUUAACUACUGUGUUGAAAUAAAAGCAAAUACUGUCAUAUAUUGGAACGUUUUCUUUCACCUAAGCAUUCAGACAUUUUCUUUCGAAGCUACUUUCCUGUGGCCUCAAAGUGUCCCUGGGCUCCACAGAUCGUCCAAGGGUUCAAGCAGGGAUGUGGAAACUGGAUUUAUACUAAAAAUGGGAGAGAUCGCUAGGAGUGGUGGCACACACCUCUAAUUCCAGCACUCAGGAGGCAGAGGCAGGUGGAUCUCUGGGAGUUCAAGGCCAGCCUGGUCUAUAGAAGUUUGAUUCGUGGACCCAUAUAAAGAUGGAAAGGCAAAACCAGCACAGUUUUGUCCUCUCUCUCUCUCUCUCUCUCUCUCUCUCUCUCUCUCUCUCUCUCUCACACACACACACACACACACACACACACACACACACACACACACACGAAGACAAAACUAAACUUCCUAAUGUGGAGGGGAGAUGGGAAUGUUGUUCAGCAAUUCAAACGCUUGCAGCACAAGAGACCUUGGUUUCAGGCUGAAGAGCUGGCUCAGCAGUUAAGGACACUUCCUGCUCUUGCAAAGGACCCAGGUUUGGUUCCCAGCACUCACACAGUAGCUCACUGGAACUCCAGUAACUGGAACUCCAGUUCCAGGGGAUUCAAUGCCCUCUUCUGGUCUCUGAAGGCAUCUUGCAUGCAUACCGUACACAUAAACACAUGAAAGCACGCACACACACACACACACACACACACACACACACACACACAAAACAAUAAAUAAUUGGUUUUUGGGUUGCUCUUCAAGACAGGGUUUCUCUUCAUAACCCUGGCUCUCCUGGAACUCCCUCUGUAAACGGAGCUGACCUUAAAACUCCAAGAUCCACCUGACUUGGAUUAAAGGUGUUGGCACCACUGCCCAGUUCUAAAACCAUAAUUUUUAAGAGCCUAGACUCUGGGUUCCCCAGCCCCCCGGCUAAACCCAUCUCAACAUGAGGUAUAUGCAGAUGGAUCUCUUGGGUAAGCUGACUGAUUAGAGCAGGCAAGCGCUGGGUUCAGGUGAGGGACCCUGCCUCAAUGUAUCAGAGAGUGAGAGAGGAAGCAGCAGUCAACUUUGGGCUUCCCCAUGCACAUACAUGCAUGUACAUGCAUGUGCAUGCAUGUGCAGAUGUACCCCCGACAUGUGCGGCUGCAUAAAUGUAAAUUAGCAUGCACGUCUGUCUGCACACCACAGGCAGGUACGGAAAUUUAAAAAUGGAGAAGGAGCCAGGCAUGGUGGCCAGAUACCUGAAGUCUCAGUGGAGGCGGGAAGAUCGGGAGUUCAAAGCCAUUUUCAUGCAGUCUGGGCUAUAAGAGACCCUGUCUGGAAAAUUCCAGACAAAUGAAAAGAAGAGGUGAGUAGAAGUACAUACACCCUGUCUAUACAGAGCUGCCCAGAAAAGAAAGACACCCGAGACACUGCAACCAGUGCUCUAAGGAAGGAAGGAGAGAGACCUGGGUGGCUGGGCCAGGUGGGAGGGGGACUUUUGACUGUGUACCCCUUUGUACCAUUUGGAAUUCUUCAUCCUGUGAAUGAAUCGCCUAUUCAUAAAAAUAAAGAAAUUGUGAUUUAAGUGGGUGGGCGCUGAUUCCAAAGUGCAACAGGAUGUGGAUUCAAUUCAACCAAUGUGGAAAAACACCGGCACCUCGGAGCCACAAGUACAGUGUGGACUCCCAACCCCACUCCAGCUUCUGAGUGCUUCCUGGAUCAGAAAAGUGAGGGCCUCUGAUACUCCUCCACACACAAGGCUCUGUGCUCUGGGAUGGGGACUGAGAACUCCUGUGGAGGAUGCUGGGGGAAGCAGCAAUGAUUGAGGGAAGGGUAGGCACAGCUCCUUCCCCUGGAGAGCCUCCUCCACCACCACCUGCCUGCCUACCUGGAACAGUGACUGGGGCUGAAAUACCUCUUUCUCUAGCCAGUACCUGUUUAUUCAGACUGUCUUCUGGGGCUGGCCUCUCUCUAUCACCCUGUCCCUAUGCUGUCUGGCUUGGGCAGCUGCCAAAUACUUCUGAGAAACUAAAGGCAAUACCAUGCAGCAUAUCUUGGAAAGAAAGGUAUCAUGGGAAAUGCUCCCAGAGCAGAAGGGAGGUGCACACACCUGUAAAGAGCCCCCACCCCACCCCCACCCCGUACUCAGGAGGCAAAGGUAGUAGAAUUACUGCAAGUUCGGGCCAGCCCUGUCUAACUUGAGCCUUCCAGGUGGGUCAGGGAAAAACAGAAGAAAAGAAAACUACAGGAAGUAAUCACAAAGUAUCAGCACAUAGCAAUAACCAUGGUUAGCUCAAAGAGGGACUUCCAGAGUCAGUGAGUGCACAGCUCAGUGGUACAGUACUUGCCUAGCCUGUACACAGCCCUGGACACACACACACACACACACACACACACACACACACGCACGCACGCACGCACGCACGCACACAAAAAGAUGGCCACCGGGGUUGGGGAUUUAGCUCAGCGGUAGAGCACUUGCCUAGCAAGCGCAAGGCCCUGGGUUCGGUCCCCAGCUCCGAAAAAAAGAAAAAAGAGAGAAAAAAAAAAAAAGAUGGCCACCCCCAGCAAUAGUAAGUUUUUAAGACUACUGUUUCUAGUCACUGGAGAGUUUCUGUCAGGCUCUGGGUCUGAAGAGCUGGAAGUUCUCUAGUCUCCAGAAGGGCUGCCAUGGGAAUGACAGAGCAGGCUCCCAGGUCUCCCAAGUGCCUUGAGGAAGGCAAGGAUUCUGUUCCCUACAGAUUCCCCAGAGCUUCAAGCAGAGGCAGAGCUGGAUCUUGGCCAGGGGAGGGAGUCCUGAGGGAAGCUGAGCUCAGAAUAGCCACGUUGGAGGACCGGGAGGGAAACCACAGGAAGAUGAAAAAGAGGAGACACCACGGGGACCAUAAACUCUGGGGAUUUGGAAAGGGAGCCUUGGAACCCACAGCCUGCACAACCUUGGAAGGAGACAGCUGAGUGACCAGGUUCAUCACCUGAAGUGUGCCCCAGCAUGGGCAGAGGGAAGCCUCUACCACACAAGGUCUCCUUAUGUCUACGCAAGUAUCCUCAGAGACUCUGACGAUAUCUGAAGUCGUGAAUCCCUCAAGGGAGUUCCUGGACCUUCUCAGAGCUGUCCACACCCAGACGCCUUCCUGUCAGCCCUGACCACCUGGGGAUUAACCAGAAGAGCCAGGCUGUUACCUAGCAAGCCGGCUGCCUCAACCCCAGGCAAUACGUCCACACCCAACUUUAUACUGAUGCUGGGAAUGGAACCCAGGGCUUUGUGCACGCUAGGCAAGCACUCUACAAGCUGAGCCACAUCUCCAGCUAAAGGCACCAUCAAGAAGGGACUUCUGCUCAUCAAAGUGCUGACUUUACCACCCCUUCCUGCUGUCUCUGCCUUCGCUCCACUAUGAGAUGAGCCACUUUGCACCAUUCUGAACUUGCUACCACGAUGGUUGGCCUUACCGCAGGCAAGGAAGCAACUGGAUAGAAGUCAGAUCUUGAGUGAAGGAGCUCUCAGGAGCUGGGGUAACCUCCCCACGAGAUGACUCAGGGAGGUGGGGGUGCGGGGUGGUGGUGGGGGAAUGAAGGAUAUAUAGUGGGCAGUUGACAGCGUCUGUUGGGACCUUUUCACCCCUGUGUUCCCUUGUUUGAAAAAUAGGAAGGCUGUUUUCUGUUCUGGAAAUAAAAAGGUAUGUUCCACUGGAGGAUUAAAUGACUUGACAGCACAUGUGCCUUAGUUAGGGUUUACUGCUGGGAACAGACACCAUGACCAAGGCAACUCUCACAAGGACAACAUUUAAUUGGUGCUGGCUCACAGGUUCAGAGGUUCAGUCCAUUAGCAUCAAGGCGGGAACAUGGCAGCAUCUCUGCAGGCAUGGUGCCGGAGGAGGAGCUGAGAGGAGCAGAGAUCUUCAUCUGAAGGCUGCUAGGAGAAGACCUACUCCUCAGCUCCACCAGAGAGGAUCACAUCCCCUAUAGAAGAUCAUUCCUGGGUCAGGAGUCUGGGCAGAGGCUGGAGAGAUGGCUGCUCUUCCGGAGAACUUGGUCAUGCAGCACCCACAUGAAGGUUCACCAACAUCUGUAAUUCCAGGGGUUCUAACACUCUCUUUUGCCCUCUGCUGCUACUGCAUGUGUACAAUAUACAGACAUACCUGCAGGCGAAAAACCCAUACCCAUAAAAUAAAAAUAAAGGUUAAUAAUUUUUUUAAA
Molecule: long non-coding RNA, 8649 nt
Organism: Rattus norvegicus (Norway rat)
Lineage: Eukaryota; Metazoa; Chordata; Mammalia; Rodentia; Muridae
Source: RefSeq, a predicted model, not a curated record